This 201-nucleotide ribosomal RNA is filed under the name uncultured fungus. RNAcentral's name for it is "partial small subunit ribosomal RNA". The stretch from base 82 to 201 matches the Rfam family "Eukaryotic small subunit ribosomal RNA", at positions 742 to 864 of the family's 1831-position model. Lineage: Eukaryota; Fungi. The record is from RNAcentral.
GAAUGCGUCUCGGUCAAAGCUCAUCCUUGUGGUGUGGCUGGACUGGCGUUUCCUAUCUUCCGAUAGUGGGGUCAAACUCGCUUCGGAUCGUUUACUUUGAAAAAAUUAGAGUGUUUAAAGCAGGCGUUUGCUUGAAUACAUUAGCAUGGAAUAAUGGAAUAGGGCUGCUGCCCCAUUUUGUUGGUUUCUGGGACCGUAGCA